RNAcentral lists this ribosomal RNA (468 nucleotides) under uncultured bacterium. RNAcentral describes it as "partial 16S ribosomal RNA". It matches the Rfam family "Bacterial small subunit ribosomal RNA", at positions 28 to 507 of the family's 1533-position model. The record is from RNAcentral.
GACGAACGCUGGCGGCGUGCUUAACACAUGCAAGUCGAACGGUGAUGCUCCAGCUUGCUGGAGUGGAUCAGUGGCGAACGGGUGAGUAACACGUGAGCAACCUGCCCCAGACUCUGGAAUAAGCGCUGGAAACGGCGUCUAAUACUGGAUACGAAACUGGCCCGCAUGGGCAUGGUUUGGAAAGUUGUUCGGUUUGGGAUGGGCUCGCGGCCUAUCAGCUUGUUGGUGAGGUAAUGGCUCACCAAGGCGACGACGGGUAGCCGGCCUGAGAUGGCGACCGGCCACACUGGGACUGAGACACGGCCCAGACUCCUACGGGAGGCAGCAGUGGGGAAUAUUGCACAAUGGGCGAAAGCCUGAUGCAGCGACGCCGCGUGAGGGAUGACGGCCUUCGGGUUGUAAACCUCUUUCAGCAGUGAAGAAGCGAAAGUGACGGUACCUGCAGAAGAAGCACCGGCUAACUACGUG